RNAcentral lists this long non-coding RNA (1932 nucleotides) under Triticum aestivum (bread wheat). RNAcentral's name for it is "long non-coding RNA (TAES_LNC007575)". The record is from RNAcentral. Lineage: Eukaryota; Viridiplantae; Streptophyta; Magnoliopsida; Poales; Poaceae.
UAGAGCAUUACAAAAUAUAAAGUUUAUUCACCAUGUGUUGGCAUCACAAUAGUAUUACUCCUCUUGAGUGCUUCAACAAAAUGUCCUUCUAUCAUCCAGCCCAUGGAAUAUGCCAUUUUGUUCAAACACCGUUGUAAAGAAAUUAGAAUUUUCCCCUGCAAGUAGAACUGCACAAUUGUUACUUGUCACUAAAAACGCUAACUACUUUAAUGAAAAUGCAUACUAUUUACUGUACAAUAUUUUACAACAGCACUUCCAAAUCUGCACCUAACCAUAUAUCAAGUAUUGUUCCUAAACAACUACAUUACAGUAAAUUCCGCCACUCCAUUCUGAACCUAUAUCAAAUCACAGUACACUAAUUUCUGAACCUAUAUCAAACUACAGUACAAUAUUUUCUGAACCUAUAUCAAACUAAAAUACAGUAUUUUCUAAACGACUGAACCUAUAUCAAACUACAUGACACAUUGAUCAUAACAGGAUAAUGCACAGGCGAGCGCACAACAACAUCACACAUUGAUCAUAGGCCCAAGUAGGCAUAUUUACAUGGAUGAGGUUCAUGAGCACAUCAGACGAUAGACUACAGAGCAUGAACGACCUCGACCGUACUUAAUGGGAACCGUGUAACUAAGAAACCUGUGUCCAGCUCAAGUACUACUUUCAACUACCUGUAUGGCCAAUAGUUGUUAAAUUUGACUACCUAAUCUAUAACAAAAAUGUGUAAAAUCUGGAAAUUCAACCACUUUCAGUACAAUUUUCUUUAGGUUUUCUUGUUUUUCUUAGGAGAUAACAAGUAACACAAGUGAACAAAUCGAAUCAAAGGGGAUUAAGGGCUGCUGUAGUACAAGGAAAGACCGAAAGAGAAGAGAGGAGGAGAGGGGGGCAGACCUCCAUGGACAUGCACAUCGCCCCAUCUCCCUUGCCCUUCUUCUUCUGGUCCUUAUGGUCCUUUCUCAUCCAUCCCCUUCCUCUCCUUUUCUCUGCACAUGGAAUUGACAUACUAAUUCAGGAAUUUUUCAGCUGAAUAUAUAGGUCAAAGAUUAGCAUCCUGAUUAUAUACUUUACUGAACUGAAUAUAUAUGAUGGAUUUACUUCGGUUUUUCAGCUGUUGUGGUCAAAAGUUCUAAACUUGACUGAUAUUCUACCAAAUUAUUUACUGGAUGUGAUCCAGUGUGUUGUUGUAAAUACAAAUAAAUAUACUUUUAAUCAAUAUUUGCACAUCCCUAACCUCUACGCUCCAGCCAUGAUUUACUAUGUAAUUACGAAGUUCUUAGCUUUCUCAUCUUUUAGAAUUAGAACAUGACACUACUUAGAUAUAUCUCCUUGACACAGAGAUCCUAAAAAACAUCAGGCACAUAAGCCUAAACAAAAUAGUGGUGGUUACCUUGGAUUCAUUGGUUCAGAUCUCAUGGCUCCAUAGGAUGGUGAUGCAAAAGAACACUACUUUUUUGUGAAUUUAGUAGCAAACCUGCAAUGCACAAAAAAGAUGAAAUGGUUAAUAAAUGUGCCAAUCAUUCUGAAGCUAGCUAUCAUGCGAAGAUAGAGAAGGAAGGUGACAACGGGUAAGGAAUGCUAUCAUGGUCUAAAAUAAAAUUAAAAACCCUUUGGAAUCUCAGAAACUAUUAUCAUAGAGAUUAGCUAGCUACCAUGCAAUAAUUUUAGAAAACGACAGGUAUAAGCAAUGUGACACAGAAAAGCAAGACAAUCAUUGACCAUGAAAGAAAUAUAUCGGUAACAUCUUCCUUAUAACAUGUCUAUUUCUAAUGAUAAGAUAUGAACAAUAAUAACAUGUAAUGGCGCAAUCGUCACCACGAUCUACUUUCAAACCUCCUCCACACCGCAGAAGGAACACUGGAAGAUCAGAAUAUGAUGGCAGCCUGACAAAGCUGUAGCCCACCCAAAUAGGAGCAAGAUUGGUGCCCAACAUCAAUUGAC